RNAcentral lists this ribosomal RNA (479 nucleotides) under uncultured bacterium. RNAcentral's name for it is "partial 16S ribosomal RNA". It matches the Rfam family "Bacterial small subunit ribosomal RNA", at positions 355 to 819 of the family's 1533-position model. The record is from RNAcentral.
UGGGGAAUAUUGCACAAUGGGCGCAAGCCUGAUGCAGCCAUGCCGCGUGUGUGAAGAAGGCCUUCGGGUUGUAAAGCACUUUCAGCGAGGAGGAAGGUGGUGAGCUUAAUACGCUCAUCAAUUGACGUUACUCGCAGAAGAAGCACCGGCUAACUCCGUGCCAGCAGCCGCGGUAAUACGGAGGGUGCAAGCGUUAAUCGGAAUUACUGGGCGUAAAGCGCACGCAGGCGGUUUGUUAAGUCAGAUGUGAAAUCCCCGGGCUCAACCUGGGAACUGCAUUUGAAACUGGCAAGCUAGAGUCUCGUAGAGGGGGGUAGAAUUCCAGGUGUAGCGGUGAAAUGCGUAGAGAUCUGGAGGAAUACCGGUGGCGAAGGCGGCCCCCCUGGANGAAGACUGACGCUCAGGUGCGAAAAGGCGUGGGGGCAGCAAAACAGGAUUAGAUACCCUGGUAGUCCACGCUGUAAAACGAUGUCGAUUUU